UGGGAAUUCGGGAUGCUUUAACAUGCAAGUCGAACGGCAGCGCGGACUUCGGUCUGGCGGCGAGUGGCGAACGGGUGAGUAAUGUAUCGGAACGUGCCCAGUAGCGGGGGAUAACUACGCGAAAGCGUAGCUAUACCGCAUACGCCCUUUGGGGGAAAGCGGGGGACCUUCGGGCCUCGCACUAUUGGAGCGGCCGAUAUCGGAUUAGCUAGUUGGUGGGGUAAAGGCCUACCAAGGCGACGAUCCGUAGCUGGUUUGAGAGGACGACCAGCCACACUGGGACUGAGACACGGCCCAGACUCCUACGGGGGGCAGCAGUAA
RNAcentral lists this ribosomal RNA (321 nucleotides) under Bordetella petrii. Its description in RNAcentral is "bacterial SSU rRNA". It matches the Rfam family "Bacterial small subunit ribosomal RNA", at positions 40 to 357 of the family's 1533-position model. The record is from RNAcentral. Lineage: Bacteria; Pseudomonadati; Pseudomonadota; Betaproteobacteria; Burkholderiales; Alcaligenaceae.